GCCCCAUCAAAUCCAUCUCAUUUACAUAGGGCUAGCCGGUGAAGGCGGCGGCGCCGCUGCCGUCACGGUCGACGGCGAAGCGGUAGGGGUUGCUGCGGCCUGCGUGUGAUGCGGUGGGUGUAUCCUUUUGCGAUGGGUGUGGUACUGGGUGCAGGAUUCCCGUGGAUCUAUCUCGUGUAGAACGGUCAGCAGCCUCCCGUUCGUAGUCAAUCCGCUUACUGAGAAAAGCUCAAUCUUUGUUCAUUAUCUGCUGCUCAUGUAUUCUUCUUCUUACGGUGAUAGGAAAGUAUGGCCUGUAAUAAGCGGAAAACUUAGGGUCUAGUACUCUUUUCCAUCACACGGCUGUAGAUUCAGAUGAAUUUAGGUGCUAGUGUUUUCUGAAUUUUUGUUUCUCAUCACUUGCCUAUAUCCAUGCGUCACCUCUGAUCAGUUUAGAUGCUAGUAUUCUUUUCCAGGCCAUGCGCUGCCUUGUUCUUUUCUAGACAAACCCAAGCAUAAUUGUUUGUUGAAAGUAUAGUGUAUACCAAUCUGUUUAAUGUAUUGAUCAGUUUUGGCACGUGACAUGUAAUGCAUAACAUAAACAAAUUCAAGUGUUCUUAUGUUUGCAGUUUCAUAACCACAAACAUGCUAAUUCAUUUGUUUUCGGCACAUAUGCAAAUUCAUCAUUUCCACACGAGGAAGAGAUUACUAAGGAAGCACACACAAAAAAAUAUGCUAAACAAUAUCAGAGUUGUGUACCUUGUGAGCAGGUUACAAAGCAGAAAGCAAAUUAUGAAAACUCCACUGAGGCCGAUCAAGGUUGUGAUGUAUCAUCGUUCCCAUAUAAUCAACCUACUAAUAAGAUAUAACAUAUGUGGUUGGAGGAAACAUGCUUGGAGAUGAAUAUUGUGAUGUUCUUAUUAACGGUCCUACACCAACUGUGGAUGAAAAAUUGCCGAGACCAUAUAAAGAUAUUGAAACUUUCAAAGAUGCUUUGGGUCAUGUUAUCGCUUGUCCUAGGUUCUAUAUCAAAAAGAAGAAAAUCGAGCUCAAACCAGACAAAUGAUGACCUGGUUAUAUGUGAAGCUAUGUAGGGCAGAGAUGGAGAUGGGCAAAGCAUUAGUUUCCGCCUCAAAAAAUCUAUGAAGUGAUAUUUUUGAGAGACAAUUGUAAUAUAGGGUUUUAUGAUUUUCCCCGAACAUGAUAUUUCCCAAUGUAUCUAUGAAUUAUCAAUAUGGAUAUUCUAUUCAGUUUCAAAUUUCCUUUA
This is a non-coding RNA of Lolium perenne, 1246 nucleotides long. NCBI's taxonomy places the organism in Eukaryota, Viridiplantae, Streptophyta, Magnoliopsida, Poales, Poaceae. The record is from RefSeq and is a predicted model, not a curated record.